RNAcentral lists this ribosomal RNA (465 nucleotides) under Vreelandella stevensii. Its description in RNAcentral is "partial 16S ribosomal RNA". It matches the Rfam family "Bacterial small subunit ribosomal RNA", at positions 338 to 795 of the family's 1533-position model. The record is from RNAcentral. Lineage: Bacteria; Pseudomonadati; Pseudomonadota; Gammaproteobacteria; Oceanospirillales; Halomonadaceae.
CCUACGGGGGGCAGCAGUGGGGAAUAUUGGACAAUGUGGGGAACCCUGAUCCAGCCAUGCCGCGUGUGUGAAGAAGGCCCUCGGGUUGUAAAGCACUUUCAGUGAGGAAGAACGCCUGGUGGUUAAUACCCAUCAGGAAAGACAUCACUCACAGAAGAAGCACCGGCUAACUCCGUGCCAGCAGCCGCGGUAAUACGGAGGGUGCGAGCGUUAAUCGGAAUUACUGGGCGUAAAGCGCGCGUAGGUGGCUUGAUAAGCCGGUUGUGAAAGCCCCGGGCUCAACCUGGGAACGGCAUCCGGAACUGUCAAGCUAGAGUGCAGGAGAGGAAGGUAGAAUUCCCGGUGUAGCGGUGAAAUGCGUAGAGAUCGGGAGGAAUACCAGUGGCGAAGGCGGCCUUCUGGACUGACACUGACACUGAGGUGCGAAAGCGUGGGUAGCAAACAGGAUUAGAUACCCUUGUAGUC